UAGGGGAACCUGCGGAAGGAUCAUUG
This 26-nucleotide ribosomal RNA is filed under the name Musa ornata. RNAcentral describes it as "partial 18S ribosomal RNA". Lineage: Eukaryota; Viridiplantae; Streptophyta; Magnoliopsida; Zingiberales; Musaceae. The record is from RNAcentral.